ACGAACGCUGGCGGCGCGCCUAACACAUGCAAGUCGAACGAGCGAGAGAGAGCUUGCUUUCUCGAGCGAGUGGCGAACGGGUGAGUAACGCGUGAGGAACCUGCCUCAAAGAGGGGGACAACAGUUGGAAACGACUGCUAAUACCGCAUAAGCCCACGGGUCGGCAUCGACCAGAGGGAAAAGGAGCAAUCCGCUUUGAGAUGGCCUCGCGUCCGAUUAGCUAGUUGGUGAGGUAACGGCCCACCAAGGCAACGAUCGGUAGCCGGACUGAGAGGUUGAACGGCCACAUUGGGACUGAGACACGGCCCAGACUCCUACGGGAGGCAGCAGUGGGGAAUAUUGCACAAUGGGGGAAACCCUGAUGCAGCGACGCCGCGUGGAGGAAGAAGGUCUUCAGAUUGUAAACUCCUGUUGUUGAGGAAGAUAAUGACGGUACUCAACAAGGAAGUGACGGCUAACUACGUGCCAGCAGCCGCGGUAAAACGUAGGUCACAAGCGUUGUCCGGAAUUACUGGGUGUAAAGGGAGCGCAGGCGGGAAGACAAGUUGGAAGUGAAAUCCAUGGGCUCAACCCAUGAACUGCUUUCAAAACUGUUUUUCUUGAGUAGUGCAGAGGUAGGCGGAAUUCCCGGUGUAGCGGUGGAAUGCGUAGAUAUCGGGAGGAACACCAGUGGCGAAGGCGGCCUACUGGGCACCAACUGACGCUGAGGCUCGAAAGUGUGGGUAGCAAACAGGAUUAGAUACCCUGGUAGUCCACACCGUAAACGAUGAUUACUAGGUGUUGGAGGAUUGACCCCUUCAGUGCCGCAGUUAACACAAUAAGUAAUCCACCUGGGGAGUACGACCGCAAGGUUGAAACUCAAAGGAAUUGACGGAAGGGCGAU
This 883-nucleotide ribosomal RNA is filed under the name uncultured bacterium. RNAcentral's name for it is "bacterial SSU rRNA". It matches the Rfam family "Bacterial small subunit ribosomal RNA", at positions 29 to 925 of the family's 1533-position model. The record is from RNAcentral.